UGAACAGGGUACAACAUAAUAAUGCACAUAAUUCACAAAUACAAGGCCGGUUAAAUUAGUACUAGGAGUGUAGAGCAGUCCACUAUCCAAAAAUGAAAGCGCCAUGUCUAAACGUUUUUACAACUCUUCCCAGAAAUUACACUUGUCCUCUUAUCCACUGCUCUUCUCCUUCCUUUCCCGCCGAUAAUGGCCGUUUCCGGCUACGCGUCUCCACCACUACUCGCCGGAGAAACAUCAGGUCGGAGCUUUUUCUCGGCGACGAAGAGGAAAUUGAAGCAGAAGAAAACGACAAGCUCUCAAACAUAGCUGAAAAAGCCUCUAGGAGUAGGAGAAUGAGGAGGUCUAGAGGUGUUGUAGACACAGAGGAAGAAGAAGAUGAAGACGACGAAGAUUCGUCGAUGUUGCUAUCUCUGAGUGUGAAACCAGAUAGAAAUUUGGCUUUACUUGAUGAUUAUGAAAUGGAGGAGCUCGAUUUUAUUUCUGAAAAUCCUAAUCAUCGCAGUGGAUAUGUGGCUGUGCUUGGGAAGCCGAAUGUUGGGAAAAGUACACUUUCCAAUCAAAUGGUUGGGCAGAAAUUGUCGAUUGUUACUGAUAAACCUCAAACUACUCGUCAUCGAGUUCUUGGUAUAUGUUCUGGUCCAGAACAUCAGAUGAUACUUUAUGACACUCCCGGUGUCAUAGAGAAGAAAAUGCAUAAGUUAGAUUCAAUGAUGAUGAAGAAUGUACGGAGUGCAGCUGUUAAUGCAGACUGUGUGCUUGUUGUUGUAGACGCAUGUAAGGUUCCUGCAAAGAUAGAUGAAGUAUUGGAAGAGGGUGUUGGAGACCUGAAGUAUAAAGUACCGACAUUGUUAGUCUUGAACAAGAAGGACCUAAUCAAGCCUGGUGAAAUUGCAAAGAGACUUGAGUGGUACGAGAAAUUUACGGACGUUGAUGAGGUCAUACCCGUAAGUGCGAAGUAUGGUCAUGGAGUAGAAGAUGUCAAAGACUGGAUAUUAUCUAAACUUCCUCUUGGGCCUGCUUAUUAUCCCAAGGACAUUGCUAGUGAACAUCCUGAAAGAUUUUUUGUGGCUGAAAUUGUCAGGGAGAAGAUAUUUCUGCAAUACCGAAAUGAAGUUCCUUAUGCAUGCCAGGUUAAUGUAGUUAGUUACAAGACUAGACCGAACGCGAAAGACUUCAUUCAAGUCGAAGUAAUAGUGGAGAAAAACACUCAAAAGAUCAUCCUUAUUGGGAAGGAAGGAAAGGCUUUAAAGCUUCUCGCCACAGCUGCAAGGCUUGACAUAGAAGAUUUCCUACAAAAGAAAGUUUUUCUGGAGGUUGAGGUGAAGGUGAAAGAGAACUGGAGGCAAAAUGAAGGUCUGUUGAAGAACUACGGCUACGGCGGCCAUAUUCAAGCUUUGUGAUUUGGAAAUUCUGCAUUGAACUUACUUUGGAUGGAACGUGAAUGAUGAUCAGUAGCUCUGGAUGCUCUUCAUGAUGAACUAGCUAUAAUUUCUGUAUAUGUUUCCCAAAGUACAUCAGGCUUAGCAGGCAAAUGGGAUCUUGUGAAAGUUCUUGAUGUCAGGAUCAGGCAUCACUAAUAUCCCUGCGGAAGAGAUCAUGAUGUGAAUGCACCAGAUCUCAUCUCAGCACUGCCAAUCUGAAUUCGGAUUAAUGUAGUUGUCCCUUGAGGGAUGCUGUUGAAGGAAGAACUUGACAGAAGAUGCAGGUGGCUGGCUGCUCAGCAAGUUAACCUUGGACAAGUUCACCUGCUGGUGUAGUAGGUGUUCCAGGCACUGAUGAAGUCAGGAAUUUCUAUAAGGAUAUUCAAUAUAUAUACACAUUUAUUCAGACUAACUGAUCACCUUUCAGUUUAUGUGGCUAUGCAGCCGCUGGUACAACUACCACAAUGCAGACUGUUACUCCCAUCGAACUAGUUCUUGAUGGAUCUUUUUGGUGUCAAAUUCGGGGCUCUUCACCAAAACAAAUAAGAAUACCUAAUCUCACAUGCAAGAUAUUGUUAUGUCACUUCAACUUUAUCAUAUGCUGUUGAAAUCAAAUUGGUAAAGAUUCCAUAACCCACAGCCGUUGUACAUUGAGAUGGAAUAAAAUUUGGGGUCAACCAUUUCUAUAUGCGAAGACGGAGGGCAGUUUUGGUUUGCAGCUAUUCCCACUAGGCUGCUUUCUCCCGGCCUUGUCGAUACAGCGCAUCUUACAGGGUGCCUUUUACUAACUAAUAUUUAGGCUUAGGGUCUUUUGGUAGGAGGGAUAAGUAUAAUUAAUCUCGGAAUUAAUUUAGAAGAGAAGCUUAUCCCAUGUUUGGUUGAGACAAAAUGCAUGGGAUAACUCAUUCCGAAAUUGUAGUGUUUUUCUUAUCCCUCCUUGAGAGUGGGAUAGCUAAUCUCGGAAUAACUUGUUUCCAACCAAACGUUAGUGUAUGUGACGUCCGAUUUUUGCUCUUUUCCA
RNA transcript from Capsicum annuum, 2442 nucleotides. It is a transcript of the gene named GTPase ERA-like, chloroplastic, with no coding region annotated. The transcript has 10 exons. The record is from RefSeq and is a predicted model, not a curated record. Lineage: Eukaryota; Viridiplantae; Streptophyta; Magnoliopsida; Solanales; Solanaceae.